This 391-nucleotide long non-coding RNA is filed under the name Monodelphis domestica (gray short-tailed opossum). RNAcentral's name for it is "lncRNA (ENSMODG00000033496.2)". The record is from RNAcentral. Lineage: Eukaryota; Metazoa; Chordata; Mammalia; Didelphimorphia; Didelphidae.
AUGUUGUCAUUAUUUUUUCUAGCUCUGUGAACUAAUUUUUGGGUAGUGUGUGAAAGAAAUUUACCCUCCUUCCUUUUUUGGGGGUUGAGCAGGUGGCCUCAUCUCCUGCUGACUACUUGACCUGGAGAAGGAAUACCAACCACAAUCCAUUUUGAUGCCUGGCUGCUGGAUCAUCAUGUAUAACUCAGGAGAAAAAUUCUGGCCUUUGGGGGAAAUGCAUCUAUAGAAAACUUUGUGAAAGUCCCAAAUAAUCCAAAUCAUCCCAAGAGAAAUGAGAGAUGAAACUUGAAGAGAACAACAGAUGUAAAGUGAAACAUAUCCUUCAAUAUUUCCAAAACAGUUAAUUUUCCAUUAUUGAUGACAAUAAAAAUACAAGAUUUUGAUUUUAACA